UGGGGAAUAUUGCGCAAUGGGGGGAACCCUGACGCAGCAACGCCGCGUGGAGGAAGAAGGUCUUCGGAUUGUAAACUCCUGUCUUCCGGGACGAUAAUGACGGUACCGGAGGAGGAAGCCACGGCUAACUACGUGCCAGCAGCCGCGGUAAUACGUAGGUGGCGAGCGUUGUCCGGAAUUACUGGGCGUAAAGGGCGCGUAGGCGGUUUUUUAAGUUAGAUGUGAAAACCCAGGGCUUAACUUUGGGCGUGCAUUUAAAACUGGAGAGCUUGAGUGCAGGAGAGGUAAGUGGAAUUCCAUGUGAAGCGGUAAAAUGCGUAGAUAUAUGGAGGAACACCAGUGGCGAAGGCGGCUUUCUGGACGAUAACUGACGCUGAGGCGCGAAAGCGUGGGUAGCAAACAGGAUUAGAUACCCU
This 416-nucleotide ribosomal RNA is filed under the name uncultured Gracilibacter sp. RNAcentral's name for it is "bacterial SSU rRNA". It matches the Rfam family "Bacterial small subunit ribosomal RNA", at positions 355 to 788 of the family's 1533-position model. The record is from RNAcentral. Lineage: Bacteria; Bacillati; Bacillota; Clostridia; Eubacteriales; Gracilibacteraceae.